AUGGAUUCCGUCGCCUUCUUCUCGCUGCUGCUUCUCUCCGCCGCCGCAGCUCCUCCCGCUCUCGGCUUCACGCGGGCCGACUUCCCUCGGGACUUCGUCUUCGGAGCCGCCACCUCCGCGUACCAGUACGAGGGCGCCGUGGCUGAGGACGGCAGGAACCCAAGCAUCUGGGACACCUUCACUCACGCAGGGAAAAUGGCGGAUAAAAGCGUAGGUGAUGUCGCUGCCGACGGGUACCACAAGUACAAGGAUGAUGUGAAGCUCAUGGUUGACAUGAACCUAGAGGCCUAUAGAUUCUCCAUCUCCUGGUCAAGGCUCAUCCCAGAUGGCAGGGGAGCUGUCAAUCCAAAAGGACUCGAGUAUUACAACAAUCUAAUAGAUGCGCUAGUGCAACAUGGGAUUCAAGUCCAUAUUAUGAUUUACCAGCUUGAGUACCCUCAAAUACUGGAAGAUGAGUAUGGAGGAUGGCUAAGCCCUAGAAUUGUGGAAGAUUUCACAGCAUUCGCAGAUGUUUGCUUCAGGGAGUUUGGAGACAGGGUCUCCUACUGGACUACGAUAGAUGAACCUAAUGUAGGUGCGAUGGGAUCUUACGAUAUCGGAGUGAUCGCACCAGGACAUUGCUCUGAUCCUUUUGGAGCUAUAAAAUGUACCGUGGGUGACUCAACUGUGGAACCAUAUAUAGUAGCUCAUAACAUGCUAUUGGCGCAUGCAUCGGCAACUAGGCUUUACAGAGAAAAAUAUCAAGCCAUGCAAAAGGGGGUUGUCGGCCUAAGUAUUUACUCCCUUUGGCCUUAUCCUAUGACAAACUCUACGGCGGAUUUAGAAGCAACAAAAAGAUGUUUGGACUUCUUUUUGGGCUGGAUACUAGAGCCCUUGAUGUCUGGAGAUUAUCCAGAAAGAAUGAAGAAAAUUGUUGGUUCUCGUCUUCCACCCUUCACAAGAAUCCAGUCUGAAGCUAUUAUUGGUAGUGCAGAUUUCAUCGGGAUAAAUCACUAUUAUUCUGUCUAUGUGAAUGAUCUCCCUAUAAAGAAAGGCGCUCGCGACUAUACAGCAGACUUGUCAAUCAGCUACAAAGCUUCUAAAACAGACCCGCCAGCCGGUAAGGCUCCACCAACGUCUUUUCCAAGUGACCCUGAAGGAUUGCAACGUGUGCUACUGUACUUGAAAGAAGCCUACGGGAACAUUCCCAUUUAUAUCCAAGAGAAUGGUCAAUCCUCUAGUAAUGACACUCUCGUCGACACCGAGAGGACCGGGUACUUGAAGGGCUAUAUAGGGAGCACAUUGGCUGCAUUAAGGAAUGGAGUCAACGUGAAAGGCUACUUUGUCUGGGCUUUCCUGGACGUCUUCGAGUACCUGUCAGGGUAUCAGGCACGGUACGGCCUGUACCGUGUCGAUUUUGACGACGAGGCGCGGCCACGGCAAGCCAGGCUCUCUGCUCGCUGGUACUCUGCCUUCCUGAAGAACAAUAACGAUGACAUCCAUGUUCAGAGUGAGCUCAACAGUACAGGAUGGCAUGCUGAACAAUGA
RNAcentral lists this ribosomal RNA (1527 nucleotides) under Triticum aestivum (bread wheat). RNAcentral describes it as "partial small subunit ribosomal RNA". Lineage: Eukaryota; Viridiplantae; Streptophyta; Magnoliopsida; Poales; Poaceae. The record is from RNAcentral.